CCUACGGGAGGCAGCAGUGAGGAAUAUUGGUCAAUGGGCGCUAGCCUGAACCAGCCAAGUAGCGUGAAGGAUGACUGCCCUAUGGGUUGUAAACUUCUUUUAUAUGGGAAUAAAGUGCAGUAUGUAUACUGCUCUGCAUGUACCCUAUGAAUAAGGAUCGGCUAACUCCGUGCCAGCAGCCGCGGUAAUACGGAGGAUCCGAGCGUUAUCCGGAUUUAUUGGGUUUAAAGGGAGCGAAGACGGGUUGUAAAGUCAGAGGGAAAAGUUUGAGGCUCAACCUCUGCGAGCCGUUGGAAGUGGGGGUGUGGAGGGAGUGAGAAGUAGGCGGAAUGCGGGGGGCAGCGGUG
RNAcentral lists this ribosomal RNA (347 nucleotides) under uncultured bacterium. RNAcentral's name for it is "partial 16S ribosomal RNA". It matches the Rfam family "Bacterial small subunit ribosomal RNA", at positions 338 to 683 of the family's 1533-position model. The record is from RNAcentral.